GUUUGAUCCUGGCUCAGGAUGAACGCUGGCGGCGUGCCUAAUACAUGCAAGUCGAACGAGGUGCUUUGUAGCAAUACGAAGUAUCCUAGUGGCGAACGGGUGAGUAACGCGUUGGUGACCUACCCCAAAGUGUGGGAUAACAGUCCGAAAGGAUUGCUAAUACCGCAUGUGGUCUCUGGAUUUAGAAACCGGUGACUAAAGGAGCAAUUCGCUUUGGGAGGGACCUGCGUCCCAUCAGCUAGUUGGUGAGGUAAUGGCUCACCAAGGCGACUACGGGUAGGGGACCUGAGAGGGUGGCCCCCCACAAUGGAACUGAAACACGGUCCAUACACCUACGGGUGGCAGCAGUAGGGAAUAUUGGUCAAUGGGCGAAAGCCUGAACCAGCAACGCCGCGUGUGCGAUGAAGGCCUUCGGGUCGUAAAGCACUUCUCUGGGAGAUGAGAAAGGACAGUAUCCCAGGAAUAAGUCUCGGCUAACUACGUGCCAGCAGCCACGGUAAAACGUAGGAGGCGAGCGUUAUCCGGAUUCACUGGGCGUAAAGCGCGUGCAGGUGGCUUGGUAAGUUUAGGCGUGAAAUCUCCCGGCUCAACUGGGAGAGGUCGUCUAAUACUACCGGGCUUGAGAGCAGAAGAGGAAGAUGGAAUUCCCGGUGUAGUGGUGAAAUGCGUAGAUAUCGGGAGGAACACCAGUGGCGAAGGCGAUCUUCUGGUCUGUUUCUGACACUCAGACGCGACAGCUAGGGUAGUAAACGGGAUUAGAGACCCCGGUAAUCUUAGCCGUAAACGAUUGUAAACUUGGCCGUUGGUGGGUUUAAACUCCAUCAGUGCCCGUAGCAACGCGAUUAAGUUUACCGGCCUGGGGACUACCGGCCGCAGGGUUAAAGCUCAAAGGAAUUGACGGGGGCCCGCACAAGCAGCGGAGCGUGUGGUUUAAUUCGAGGCAACGCGAAAGAACCUUACCUGGGUUUGACAUGUAGGGAAAAGCCGUAG
RNAcentral lists this ribosomal RNA (990 nucleotides) under uncultured bacterium. RNAcentral describes it as "bacterial SSU rRNA". It matches the Rfam family "Bacterial small subunit ribosomal RNA", at positions 11 to 1003 of the family's 1533-position model. The record is from RNAcentral.